UAGGGAAUAUUGGACAAUGGGUGAGAGCCUGAUCCAGCCAUGCCGCGUGCAGGAAGAAGGCGUUAUGCGUUGUAAACUGCUUUUUGCCAGGGGAUAAAAAGACCGUGCGCGGUUAAUUGAAGGUACCUGGUGAAUAAGCCACGGCUAACUACGUGCCAGCAGCCGCGGUAAUACGUAGGUGGCAAGCGUUGUCCGGAUUUAUUGGGUUUAAAGGGUGCGUAGGUGGCCCUGUAAGUCAGUGGUGAAAUAUCUCAGCUUAACUGAGAGGGUGCCAUUGAUACUGCAGGGCUUGAGUACAGAUGAGGUAGGCGGAAUUGACGGUGUAGCGGUGAAAUGCAUAGAUAUCGGAAGGAACACCAGUGGCGAAGGCGGCUUACUGGCCUAACACUGACACUGAGGCACGAAAGCGUGGGGAGCAAACAGGAUUAGAUACCCUAGUAGUCCCUGAGCGGGCUGGCAAGGCGCAU
This 467-nucleotide ribosomal RNA is filed under the name uncultured bacterium. RNAcentral describes it as "bacterial SSU rRNA". It matches the Rfam family "Bacterial small subunit ribosomal RNA", at positions 355 to 825 of the family's 1533-position model. The record is from RNAcentral.